CAAAACUAGCGUGAUCUGUUCCUUCAUCUUCAUCAGAAUUCUCCUAAUUUUUCAACGCAGUAGCUUCAUAAAAAGUUAACGUGAUCUGCUCCUUCUUCAUCAAAAUUCUCAGCAUUUGCCAGGGUUCAACCCUGUGUCAUAACUGACCGAGACACGAAGUUAGAUGGCCAAGCUCGUGAGUCAGGGACCGAUCGAGAUCGAGACCAGCCAAGAUCGAGACCGAGCGGGAUAGAGAUUGAGCAAGAUCGAGGAAAGCCUGCCGAGCCAAAUAACGGAAAGCCAAGAUAUCCGCAAUCGAGCGAGGAUCACGACGGACAUCUCGGUAUGUAUCAAGAAGAGGCCGAUUAAUCAGCUAAUAAUGAGUUUCUUACCAUAUUUAGGAUUGUAUUAACAGUAGGACUCCCCUACUAUAUAAAAGGGGUCUGAUCAUUUGUAAAGGACAUCAUAUUCACGUUACAUAAAGUAGUAUACUAUCUUCUUCUUAA
This is a long non-coding RNA of Nicotiana attenuata, 485 nucleotides long. RefSeq lists it as uncharacterized. The transcript has 2 exons. The record is from RefSeq and is a predicted model, not a curated record. NCBI's taxonomy places the organism in Eukaryota, Viridiplantae, Streptophyta, Magnoliopsida, Solanales, Solanaceae.